CUUUGGGGGUCAGCUCUGUGGGAACUAACUGGAGUCUCAGAAGAACUUCCUCAGUUUCUUCUGAGGGCAUUUAACAAAACCACCUCCCACUGGGCUCCGCAUUUGAAAGGCUCUUUCACCUCAACACUGUUACAUUUAAAACCAAGCUUCCAAAACACAAACCUUUGGGGGACAAACCACAUCUACACUAUAGCAGUACUCAAAGUCACUUCCAUUGGUUUGCAGUUAUUGCCAUGAAGAAAACAUUCCUACUCCUGACUGCAUUUGCCAGAGAUGCCAAGAACACAAGUGAUUGUUCUGAUAUAGAAUGUCAGAUAUAACCGCACCCACUUGGCGGAUGUGCUAGAGAAGAGCAAAGUGCUUUGGCUGUGGGCUUGGCUUUCAUUCCCUUGCCAGGAUGUUGGGGUGAGAUGGGGCCAUGGUUGUGCAGACUGCAGAGGUGACAUUCACAUCACAGUCCACACAAAUGACCCUUUAGGGGUGGCAUCACCUGCUGCUCAGCCCUGCACAGAGGCCUGGGAUGUUCAGAAUUGCCACAGUACCCUCUUCAGGUUGUUCUUGGCAGGUGUGGGGUUUCUGCUGACCAGAAGUGCUGCUGGCAGGGCAGGCCCGGAAGGGGAUGCUGGGCAUGGUCCCUGCCAGGCUAAGCCUCUGGGAAGAUGCAGCAGUGCCAAACACAGACUACACAGGUCCCAAGUGCCUAAGAGAGACCUGUGCCUACCUGACUUCCUGCCCGCAGUCCUUCCUAUGUGACCGUGACCUUGCUAACUGAC
This is a long non-coding RNA of Heterocephalus glaber (naked mole-rat), 773 nucleotides long. The record is from Ensembl. NCBI's taxonomy places the organism in Eukaryota, Metazoa, Chordata, Mammalia, Rodentia, Bathyergidae.